Long non-coding RNA from Pezoporus flaviventris, 610 nucleotides. RefSeq lists it as uncharacterized. NCBI's taxonomy places the organism in Eukaryota, Metazoa, Chordata, Aves, Psittaciformes, Psittacidae. The transcript has 2 exons. The record is from RefSeq and is a predicted model, not a curated record.
GCUUGUCAGAACCCCCGAAUUGCUCCAAACUUUCUUCGGCGUGCGAGGGAGGUGGGAAAAGUGAUAAUAAAUAUAGAUGGAUAUAGGGGCCUUUUCAUUGCUUUGCUUUACCUCUGGCCAGGCUCAAUCUAAACCCUUCGCUCCCCCGCCCCCUCCCCCGGCUAAUCCUCCCCUUUAUUUUAGAAACACACAAAACCAGGUUCCACGCAGCGCUAUAGUGGCUACAAGUGAAAGAGAACUGAGCGCCCUGAAUCGCUGGGGGGAAAUUGGUCCGGCUGAAUAGCCCCGGCGAGGGACGGGAGGCUAAUGGGGGCCAAGGGGGGUGCUGCCGCCGCGGCCGGGCCCCCCAAACCAGGUGGACACGGGGCUUUCUCAAUUGCCCGCGUCCUCGCAUCUGAGGGUUCUGCAAAUCCUCCCCUCCCGCAUCAAGUCGUUUUAAUUAGAGAGAGGAAGGGAAGGACCCCCAGCAUCCAGGCGCUCUCGGUUGCAACGGAGCUGAUUGCAGAUGGGUUGCCAAAAUAACUCGAGCAUGGUUGCGUGGUAGUUGCUUUAGGAAGGGAAAAAAAAUUCAUUCUCCCCCUUCUUAAAGAAAAAAAAAAAAAAAGAGAAA